Molecule: unclassified non-coding RNA, 466 nt
Filed under: Hevea brasiliensis (rubber tree)
Lineage: Eukaryota; Viridiplantae; Streptophyta; Magnoliopsida; Malpighiales; Euphorbiaceae
Source: RNAcentral
GAAAGGAAUUUUGUCUUCGGCUCAUGAAGCUGUAAGCGAAAUGUCAUCCCAAGGUAUCCAGCCCAAUGCAAUUACGUACACAACCUUGAUUGAUGGCUUCUCAAAGGCUGGCCGCCUACAGGAAGCUUAUGACCUUGUUACUGAGAUGUCAGCAAAAAGUCUCAGCCUAAAUAUAAUGGGUUAUAACUCUCUUAUAUCAGCUCUGAGUAAACAAGGAAUGAUCCAACAGGCAUUAGAAAUUUUUGGUGAUAUGUCAAACAACGGAUGUAAACCAGACAUUUUUACAUUCAAUGCUUUGAUUUUAGGCUUUUGCAAGAUUGACAAGAUGGAUGAAGCUUUGGGGAUAUACCGGGAUAUGUUCCAGGAAGGAGUUAUUGUUAAUACAGUCACCUACAACACAUUGAUUCAUGCUUUCUUGAGGAAAGGUAAAACCCAAGAGGCGCUUAAGCUUGUAAAUGAUAUGUUA